UACGAAGGGGGCUAGCGUUGCUCGGAAUGACUGGGCGUAAAGGGCGCGUAGGCGGCCUUGUUUGUCAGGCGUGAAAGUCCUGGGCUCAACCUGGGGAUUGCGUUUGGGACGGCGAGGCUUGAGUGGGGAAGAGGGUCGUGGAAUUCCCAGUGUAGAGGUGAAAUUCGUAGAUAUUGGGAAGAACACCGGUGGCGAAGGCGGCGACCUGGUCCUUGACUGACGCUGAGGCGCGAGAGCGUGGGGAGCAAACAGG
Molecule: ribosomal RNA, 253 nt
Filed under: uncultured bacterium
Lineage: Bacteria
Description: partial 16S ribosomal RNA
Rfam family: Bacterial small subunit ribosomal RNA
Source: RNAcentral